This 477-nucleotide ribosomal RNA is filed under the name uncultured soil bacterium. RNAcentral's name for it is "bacterial SSU rRNA". It matches the Rfam family "Bacterial small subunit ribosomal RNA", at positions 26 to 518 of the family's 1533-position model. The record is from RNAcentral.
AGGAUGAACGCUGGCGGCGUGCUUAACACAUGCAAGUCGAACGGUGAUCCGGUGCUUGCACCGGGGAUUAGUGGCGAACGGGUGAGUAACACGUGAGUAACCUGCCCUUAACCUCGGGAUAAGCCUGGGAAACCGGGUCUAAUACUGGAUAUGACUGCCGGCCGCAUGGUCUGGUGGUGGAAAGCUUUAUGCGGUUUUGGAUGGACUCGCGGCCUAUCAGCUUGUUGGUGAGGUAAUGGCUUACCAAGGCGACGACGGUAGCCGGCCUGAGAGGGUGACCGGCCACACUGGGACUGAGACACGGCCCAGACUCCUACGGAGGCAGCAGUGGGAAUAUUGCACAAUGGGCGAAAGCCUGAUGCAGCGACGCCGCGUGAGGGAUGAAUGCCUUCGGUUGUAAACCUCUUUCAGUAGGAAGAAGCCUUCGGGUGACGGUAUUGCAGAAGAAGCGCCGGCUAACUACGUGCCAGCAGCCGC